GAUGAAGAACGUAGCGAAAUGCGAUACUUGGUGUGAAUUGCAGAAUCCCGUGAACCAUCGAGUUUUUGAACGCAAGUUGCGCCCGAAGCCGUUAGGCCGAGGGCACGCCUGCCUGGGUGUCACACGUCGUUGCCCCCCCAUCUACUCCUUCGGGAUUGCGGGGGGCGGAUGAUGGCCUCCCGUGCGCCUCGUCGCGCGGUUGGCAUAAAUGCCAAGUCCUCGGCGACGCACGCCACGACAAUCGGUGGUUGCGAAACCUCGGUUGCCCGUCGUGUGCGGUCGUCGCGCAUCGAGGGCUCGAAAAAAUUGCCGGGCUCCGGCUCGGCUUUCAACGCGACCCCAGGUCAGGCGGGGUUACCCGCUGAAUUUAAGCAUAUCAAUAAGCGGAGGA
Molecule: unclassified non-coding RNA, 391 nt
Filed under: soil metagenome
Description: partial contains 5.8S ribosomal RNA, internal transcribed spacer 2, and large subunit ribosomal RNA
Rfam family: 5.8S ribosomal RNA (bases 1-122)
Source: RNAcentral